Molecule: ribosomal RNA, 1368 nt
Filed under: Triticum aestivum (bread wheat)
Lineage: Eukaryota; Viridiplantae; Streptophyta; Magnoliopsida; Poales; Poaceae
Description: partial small subunit ribosomal RNA
Source: RNAcentral
AUGGAUGAACUUAUGAAAUUGUUUGCUAAUAAGAGUGUUUCUUCUGAUCCUAAUGAUAUGCCUUUGUCUACCUUGAUUGAGAAUAAUAAUGAAUCUAUGGAUGUUAAUUUUGUUGGUAGGAAUAAUUUUGGUAACAACGCAUAUAGAGGAAACUUUAAUCCUAGGUCGUAUCCUAGUAAUUCCUCUAAUAAUUAUGGUAAUUCCUACAACAAUUCUUAUGGAAAUUUUAAUAAGAUGCCCUCUGAUUUUGAGACUAGUGUUAAGGAAUUUAUGAUCUCCCAAAAGAAUUUCAAUGCUUUGCUUGAAGAAAAAUUGCCUAAGAUUGAUGAAUUGGCUAGGAACGUUGAUAUAAUUUCUCUUGAUGUUGAUUAUUUGAAGCUUAGAUCUAUUCGACCUAAGCAUGGUAUCAAUGAGUGUCUCAAAGCCAUGAGAAUUUCCAUUGAUGAGUGCAAAGAAAGAACCGCUAGUAUGCGUGCUAAGAAAGAUUGCUUUGUGAAAGCGUGUUCUUCUAAUUUUUAUGAGAAUAAAGAUGAAGAUCUAAAAGUUAUUGAUGUGUCCCCUAUUAAAUCUUUGUUUUGCAAUAUGAAUCUUGAUAGUGAUGGGACUGGAGAUGAGUCAACUUUAGUUAGAAGGCGUCCCAAAAAUUCGGAGUUUUUAGAUCAUAAUGCAAAAAUUGGUAAAAGUGGGAUUGAAGAGGUCAAAACUUUAGAUAUCAAUGAACCCACUAUCUUGGAUUUCAAGGAAUUUAAUUAUGAUAAUUGCUCUUUGAUAUAUUGUAUUUCCUUGUUCCAAUCCGUGCUAAAUUCUCCUCAUGCUUAUAGUCAAAAUAAAGCUUUUACUAAACAUAUCGUUGAUGCUUUGAUGCAAUCUUAUGAAGAAAAACUUGAGUUGGAAGUUUCUAUCCCUAGGAAACUUUAUGAUGAAUGGGAGCCUACUAUUAAAAUUAAAAUUAAGGAUCAUGAAUGCUAUGCUUUGUGUGCUAGUGUUUCCACGAUUCCAAAAACUUUAUGUGAUUUGUUAUGUUUCUGUGAUUUUGAUGAUUGUUCUUUAAAUUUGCAUCUUGCGGAUUCCACCAUUAAGAAACCUAUGGGAAGAAUUAAUGAUGUUCUUAUUGUUGCAAAUAGGAACUAUGUGCCCGUAGAUUUUAUUGUUCUUGAUAUAGAUUCCAAUCCUUCAUGUCCUAUUAUUCCUGGUAGACCUUUCCUUAGAACGAUUGGUGCAAUUAUUGAUACGAAGGAAGGGAAUAUUAGAUUCCAAUUUCCAUUAAGGAAAGGCAUGGAACACUUCCCUAGAAAGAAAGUUAAAUUACCAUAUGAAUCUAUUAUGAGAGCCACUUAUGGAUUGCCUACAAAAGAUGGCAAUACCUAG